AUGCCAAUGUGGGACAUGGAUAUUCCAAGUGACAUCCUAACUGCUACUUCAGUGCCUACCUCUGGCCUUGGAUCUCCUUGGACAUCACGGGCCUGCAGGAGUAGCCCACCUUUCACUGAUGCAAUUCAUCUGCUUUUGAAGACAAGCAUUGUUUGUCACCGAGAUUGGACAAAAUGAGGUCAGAUUGCUGGGACUGAUAUCUGUCAUUUAACUGCCAAUGCAUGUUAACAAAUUUGAUGGAGAACACCUGCUUUUCUUAGUCAUCUGUUUGAGAAAAUUUUGUUUCUCUUGCCUUUGAAGUCACAGCUAGUAAGAAGGUAGGUAAUGAGAAAAAUAUAAUUUAUCUAAGCACUCAUUAGACAAAUUUUUCAGAUGUAAUUAACAAUAUCUUUUUAAUGAAUAAAGUAUAUUUUCAUAUGCUCA
Molecule: long non-coding RNA, 423 nt
Filed under: Oryctolagus cuniculus (rabbit)
Lineage: Eukaryota; Metazoa; Chordata; Mammalia; Lagomorpha; Leporidae
Description: lncRNA (ENSOCUG00000032157.1)
Source: RNAcentral